UAGAAGAUAGUAUAGUGGAAGUACGGAGGGUUUUGAUCUCUUUGGUGUGGGUUCGAGCCCCAUUCUUCUAA
RNAcentral lists this transfer RNA (71 nucleotides) under Pseudhymenochirus merlini (Merlin's clawed frog). Its description in RNAcentral is "tRNA-Gln". It matches the Rfam family "tRNA". From Rfam's summary of the family: Transfer RNA (tRNA) molecules are approximately 80 nucleotides in length. Lineage: Eukaryota; Metazoa; Chordata; Amphibia; Anura; Pipidae. The record is from RNAcentral.